This 217-nucleotide ribosomal RNA is filed under the name uncultured bacterium. RNAcentral describes it as "partial 16S ribosomal RNA". It matches the Rfam family "Bacterial small subunit ribosomal RNA", at positions 1287 to 1500 of the family's 1533-position model. The record is from RNAcentral.
CUCAGUUCGGAUUGGAGUCUGCAACCCGACUCCAUGAAGCUGGAUUCGCUAGUAAUCGCGCAUCAGCCACGGCGCGGUGAAUACGUUCCCGGGCCUUGUACACACCGCCCGUCAAGCCAUGGAAGCCGGGAGUGCCCGAAGCCGGUGAGGUAACCGAGAGGAGCCAGCCCGUCGAACGGUGAGACCAAUGACUGGGGUGAAGUCGUAACAAGGUAUC